Spermophilus dauricus (Daurian ground squirrel) is the source of this 107-nucleotide small nuclear RNA. NCBI's taxonomy places the organism in Eukaryota, Metazoa, Chordata, Mammalia, Rodentia, Sciuridae. The record is from Ensembl.
GUGCUCACUUCAGCAGCACAUAUACUAAAAUUGGAACAAUACAGAGAAGAUUAGCAUGACACCUGCGUAAGGAUGACACACAAAUUUGUGAAGUGUUCCUUGUUUUU